UUCUCUUUAACCUAAACUUGCUAUAUAUAUAUAUAUAUGCAAAUCCAACUCUCAUGAAAGUUACCAGUGGAUCCAUACUCUGUUGAUGAUGGAAGACAAGUUUAUUAUUGUGCUUGAAAAUAUGCCUACCCAAUUAAGGUUUUAUGAGAGGUAAAAUCUAGAUGGUUUAGGAGAGAAACUAUCUUUAUCUUUUAACUUUGUCAUUAUAAUAAAAGGAAGAUACCAGUCCCUAGACAGUUGUAUGCCCCUUUCACUUUCAUCUUUUCUAUCUUAUUUUUCUUCCCCUUUUUUUUCUUCGAAAAC
Molecule: long non-coding RNA, 303 nt
Filed under: Gossypium barbadense (sea-island cotton)
Lineage: Eukaryota; Viridiplantae; Streptophyta; Magnoliopsida; Malvales; Malvaceae
Description: long non-coding RNA (GBAR_LNC021032)
Source: RNAcentral